RNAcentral lists this unclassified non-coding RNA (2937 nucleotides) under Hevea brasiliensis (rubber tree). The record is from RNAcentral. Lineage: Eukaryota; Viridiplantae; Streptophyta; Magnoliopsida; Malpighiales; Euphorbiaceae.
GGAAAUUGUUUAUUGCUGGUAGCGGAAUGAACUAGUUAUUAGAUCUACCUGCGAGGUUGGGCUUUCUUGGGGAAACGAAGAAACUAGAGACCAGAGAAUCGCUCGCAGUUGCAGUUUCUAUUUCGAUUCAAAAGGUUAUGUAUUUUUGCUCAAAUUCAAUUAAUUUUAUAUGAAAUGCUCAUAUUUAAUUCAAAAUCUAGCAUCUUCAAUGACUUUUUCGCUAUUUCUGAUGUUUAUAGCUUGUUUUAUAUCCAGAAAUAGUUGAGUUCACCGAUCAGUUUCUGUCAAAAUUAGAGGAAAUAAUUCAUCGUCCUUCUCCUCAACUUUCCUGUAAGUGGAAAUUUUUCUGGCAUUUUUUUCUUCAGUAAAUACCUAAAAUCGACUGAUAGGGCGACUAGAUUCCUAAUUUUCGCCCAAUUUCCUUGAUUUUACAUUUGUGGCACUUUCUGAAUCAAAUUUGAUUCGGCUCCUGAGGAUGGGUUUCUCUUACUACAUUUUAACUCUAACUUCCUCUCGUGCUUGGCAAGUUGAAGUUACAAUGUCCUGUAAUUUCAUUAAUAUAUAGCUCAUUCCAGCCUUAUCAAUUAUUUUGCUGCUUUACUAGCUGGUUUCAUUGCAUUUCAGUUUUUUUUUUCAAUAAUUGAUAGUGAAACAAGAUUUUUGCAAUGAAUAAAUAAGAGAAAUGCUAAUGAAGAAGCUCCUUCCAAUCUCAUUGAUGUCUGCCAAAACCACUCCUUCAAAAUCCUCCUGGAAGGGUCUGUUUGAUAUUGCUGUACUGUGAUGCCCUAGAGACAAACACUCAUCUUAAAUAUAUUAGUUAAGUUAAAUUUGAAAUUUUUUAGUAAAAAAAUUUCACUAAACAGCUUUUUCAAUUUUUUUUAACAGUAUCUAGAACAGUGCUUUUCCAAAAAGCGGGUUGGAGCCAUAAUUUUGUCUACAAUUGUUUUAUAAACAAUCUUUGAUUCCUAACAUCUUAAUGUUUCUCUCUGGUUAAAUACUCCAAUAUCAAAAUCUUUACACAAUGCCAGUCUACAAGCCUUUUUUCCUCCUACAUGCCAAAAGCAUUAAUUUUGAAUUCUAGAAACCCUCUAGUGUUUCUGGACUUACCUAAUUUUCCUCAUAUAUACCAUAUAGUCAACCCCAAUUAUACGAAGAACUGGUGAUUUAUUAUCAGUUCUCAUUAUUGAUCAGCAGCAUUCAGAUAUUUUAACAGGUAACAUAUAAACUUUACAUCUUGUGAUCAGCUUGUCCAUUUCAAGUUCCAUUCAUACAGUUAUUAUCUUUUGUGACAGAGCUUUACCUGUGCUACUGCAACGUUGUCUAUCCUGUUUCCUAUGGAUUCCUUCAGUUUUUGAUUGCUUUAAGCAAGCCUCGGUGACCAUUCCUUCAUCCCUCAUGACUUCAACUGUUUCAACUUCUCGAGGAUUUAUUCCACCAACAAGGCAUAGCUCCUUUGAAUCCUCAAGUAUCAUUGGUCCUGGAUCUUUAGGUCAGCCUGAGCUAGAUAGUGAUGAAGCAGAGUUGCUCUCUGUAUCCUGGAACCAGGAUUAUGGUUGCUUUGCUACUGGCACAAACCGGGGGUUUCGUAUAUAUAACUGUGAGCCCUUUAAGGAAACUUUCAGACGUGAUCUGAAAAAUGGGGGAUUCAAAAUUGUUGAGAUGCUGUUCAGGUGCAAUAUUUUGGCACUUGUUGGCAGUGAUUCUAAUUCCCAGUAUCCUCCAAACAAAGUUUUAAUCUGGGAUGAUCAUCAGAGCCGGUGCAUUGGUGAAUUUUCAUUUAGGUCUGAGGUUCGUGCAGUGAAAUUAAGACGGGAUCGAAUUGUUGUUGUUCUUGAGCACAAAAUUUAUGUUUAUAGUUUCAUGGAUCUAAAACUUCUUCAUCAGAUUGAGACUCUGACAAAUCCCAGGGGACUGUGCUGCCUUUCUCACCAUUCAAAUACAUCUGUUUUAGCUUGCCCAGGUCUUCAACGAGGCCAGGUUCGAGUUGAACACUUUGGGCUGAAUGUCAUGAAGUUGAUUAAUGCUCAUGAUUCUCAUCUUGCAUGCAUCACCUUGACAAUGGAUGGCCUGCUUCUUGCAACUGCUAGUACAAGGGGCACCUUGAUAAGAAUCUUCAAUACAAUGGAUGGGACUCGCUUGCAAGAGGUGCGAAGAGGAGUCGACAGAGCAGAAAUUUAUGGCAUUGCACUCUCUCGGAAUGUUCAGUGGUUGGCUGUGUCAAGUGACAAAGGUACUGUUCAUAUUUUCAGUCUUAGAGUUCGUGUGGCUGGGGAGGACUCUUCCUGUCACUCAAGUCCUAUUCAGGGUCCAGCAUUGUUAAACCAGAAUUCAUCAACUUCCCUUGAUGCCCUUAUCUCUCCAAGCACUAGUGCUAACCCUGGUUCAUCCUUGUCUUUUAUGAGAGGUGAGAAGAUUUUAUCUAUAUUUUUGUAUAAGCUUAUUAAUAAAUGUUUCUAAGACGCUACUUUUAGUGUCUUCUUCAUCUAUCUUUUUUUUUUCUCUUUUUCUCCAUUGAGCAAAAGCCAAAAGGCCUUGACUGACUUUGAUAACAAUGAGCUGCAUGAUAGUUUAUGAGAAGGUUUCAUUUGAUAACGAGUUUAUGAUGUGUAAUUCUUAUAAUGAAAAUGCCAGUAUUUAUUUCAAUAAAAUCUGAUAAAAAUUGCUAAAUAAGUUCUAGAAACCCAACAUAAGUAUCUGAAAUUCCAUAUGUUAAUGUCACAUAAUAUAGGAGAUAUAGGAAUAAGAUGUGAUGUGAGUGAGUGUAAUUUCUAAAAGUUUUAGGAGAGUAUAGAAGGGAUCAGUUUGGUGGAAAGUUAGUAGAUUCUGUUAUAGCUAACUAAUUCUGUUAGUUAGUUAAAGUAGUCAGCUGGGCAGUUAGGGGAGAGUAUAAAUAACUCAGUGUAGCUAUCUUGCAAUUCAUUCCAAGAAUUAUCAAGA